AGCGGGUUGGAGGAAGGGUCACCUCAUCAGGCUCAUAACCUGAAGGACCUGGUUCGAGUCCAGGACCCGCAA
RNAcentral lists this transfer RNA (72 nucleotides) under Minisyncoccota bacterium. RNAcentral's name for it is "tRNA-Ile". It matches the Rfam family "tRNA". Rfam says of the family: Transfer RNA (tRNA) molecules are approximately 80 nucleotides in length. Their secondary structure includes four short double-helical elements and three loops (D, anti-codon, and T loops). Further hydrogen bonds mediate the characteristic L-shaped molecular structure. tRNAs have two regions of fundamental functional importance: the anti-codon, which is responsible for specific mRNA codon recognition, and the 3' end, to which the tRNAs corresponding amino acid is attached (by aminoacyl-tRNA synthetases). tRNAs cope with the degeneracy of the genetic code in two manners: having more than one tRNA (with a specific anti-codon) for a particular amino acid; and 'wobble' base-pairing, i.e. permitting non-standard base-pairing at the 3rd anti-codon position. The record is from RNAcentral. Lineage: Bacteria; Bacillati; Minisyncoccota. RNAcentral also lists the same sequence under 1 other name.